ACGUACACUCCUGCGGGAGGCAGCAGUGGGGAAUAUUGGACAAUGGGCGCAAGCCUGAUCCAGCCAUGCCGCGUGAGUGAUGAAGGCCCUAGGGUUGUAAAGCUCUUUCACCGGUGAAGAUAAUGACGGUAACCGGAGAAGAAGCCCCGGCUAACUUCGUGCCAGCAGCCGCGGUAAUACGAAGGGGGCUAGCGUUGUUCGGAUUUACUGGGCGUAAAGCGCACGUAGGCGGACUAUUAAGUCAGGGGUGAAAUCCCGGGGCUCAACCCCGGAACUGCCUUUGAUACUGGUAGUCUUGAGUUCGAGAGAGGUGAGUGGAAUUCCGAGUGUAGAGGUGAAAUUCGUAGAUAUUCGGAGGAACACCAGUGGCGAAGGCGGCUCACUGGCUCGAUACUGACGCUGAGGUGCGAAAGCGUGGGGAGCAAACAGGAUUAGAAACCCUUGUAGUCCAUG
Molecule: ribosomal RNA, 453 nt
Filed under: uncultured organism
Description: partial 16S ribosomal RNA
Rfam family: Bacterial small subunit ribosomal RNA
Source: RNAcentral